UAUUUAUGCCUUGAAAACGAAACCGAAAUUGAAAUAACUUCCACCGACGGGUGUCGCCGCGAUCGCUGCUGAGUCUCGCGGCGGGCCGCCGGGUGCACAUGUGUGUGUUCUCCGUGACAGUCUUGAAGUUGUGAGUAAUUAGAUUGUUUUUCGCUACGUUUAGGUUGCACCAUCUCGUUGUUUUCGUGUACUUUUGUGCUCAUCGACGCGAAGGGAGCAUCCGGACUGAAGGCGACGCGAUUAUGCGUGAGAAAGAAAGGCAGUAGCGGCCUACGACAUCGGUGUUUCUUUGUGACAGUGUGUUUACUAUGCCUACGACGGCCGUCAUUCGUGGCCAACGAGAAAACAUCUUCCAUUCGGCCUGAACAGUGAUGAAGGGGACUUUUUUUUUUCGGCGGAAUCCAUCGUCAACAUCGUCCAUCCACUACGUAAACGAAAUGGCGUGCCCAGAGUAUACAUCGUGACAGCGCUCCGCCUUCAAACCGAGGGCCUUUUGCAAGGCGCAUGGACGGCUCAUAUAAAAGUUAGUCAGCAUGAAGCAAUUGCAUGGGAACCGGCCGAUUGUCUUGGGCCUACACAUUGCUCAAAAGACAGUGAAGGUGUCUGAGCCGACAGGUAUACUUUUUUCAUCACAAUUGGCCUACAUAUUUUUUCCACUGGAGGAUGAAGACCUCUCCCAGUAGAAAACAAGCAGAUGGCUACAGCGAUCAAUGAAGAAAUGGCUUCAUCUGUGAUGGCUCGCCUUAGGACAUUGGAAUGGAGCUACACAAAGGCAUCACCAGCCUCGCCUGUGCCCUGGAACAUUGGUUUGAAUAAGACUGUUCUUCAGUGUAGAACGACCACAAGACUUGUCACCACAUACAAGGCGUAGUGCAAGCUCUAAAUAUUGUACAGGUGGCUAGAAUAAAUGACCCUCCAUGCAGUCA
Long non-coding RNA from Dermacentor andersoni, 926 nucleotides. RefSeq lists it as uncharacterized. The record is from RefSeq and is a predicted model, not a curated record. NCBI's taxonomy places the organism in Eukaryota, Metazoa, Arthropoda, Arachnida, Ixodida, Ixodidae.